UCCAGCUGUGGCAUGUCUCAUGGUCCUGGC
Molecule: non-coding RNA, 30 nt
Filed under: Rattus norvegicus (Norway rat)
Lineage: Eukaryota; Metazoa; Chordata; Mammalia; Rodentia; Muridae
Source: RNAcentral